UGGUCAAGUUAUUAAGGUGCAGGGCGGAUGCCUUGGCACUAGGAGCCGAUGAAGGACGUGAUAAGCUGCGAUAAGCUUCGGGGAGUUGCACGUAAACUUUGAUCCGAAGAUUUCCGAAUGAGGAAACUCACUUAGAGUAAUGUCUAAGUAUCAUUAAGUGAAUACAUAGCUUAAUGAGGGGAACUCAGGGAACUGAAACAUCUAAGUACCUGAAGGAAGAGAAAGAAAUUCGAUUCCGUAAGUAGCGGCGAGCGAACGCGGAUUAGCCCAAACCAAUAAA
RNAcentral lists this ribosomal RNA (280 nucleotides) under Clostridioides difficile. RNAcentral's name for it is "partial 23S ribosomal RNA". It matches the Rfam family "Bacterial large subunit ribosomal RNA", at positions 1 to 281 of the family's 2925-position model. The record is from RNAcentral. Lineage: Bacteria; Bacillati; Bacillota; Clostridia; Peptostreptococcales; Peptostreptococcaceae.